UACGUAGGGUGCGAGCGUUAAUCGGAAUUACUGGGCGUAAAGCGUGCGCAGGCGGUUUUGUAAGCCAGAUGUGAAAUCCCCGGGCUCAACCUGGGAAUGGCAUUUGGGACUGCAAGGCUUGAGUGCGGCAGAGGAGACUGGAAUUCCUGGUGUAGCAGUGAAAUGCGUAGAUAUCUGGAGGAACACCCGUGGUGCAGACGGCUUGCUGGACCGUGACUGACGCUGAGGCACGAAAGCGUGGGUAGCAAACAGG
This 253-nucleotide ribosomal RNA is filed under the name uncultured bacterium. RNAcentral's name for it is "partial 16S ribosomal RNA". It matches the Rfam family "Bacterial small subunit ribosomal RNA", at positions 524 to 776 of the family's 1533-position model. The record is from RNAcentral.